AUUGAACGCUGGCGGCAGGCCUAACACAUGCAAGUCGAACGAGUGGCGGACUGGUGAUUAAUGUCUGGGUAACUGCCCGAUGGAGGGUGAUACCUACUUGAAACGGUAGCUAAUACCGCAUACCAUCGUAUUUUCCCAGAUGGGAUUAGCUAGUAGGUGGGGUAACGGCUCACCUAGGCGACGAUCCCUAGCUGGUCUGAGAGGCUGACGAGCCACACUGGUACUGAGACAGUGUCGAGACUUCUACGGGAGGCAGCAGUGGGGAAUAUUGCACAGUGGGCGAAAGCCUGAUUCAGGCAUGACGCGGGGAUGAAGAAGGCCUGAGGGUUGUAAAGUACUUUCAGCGAGGUGGAGGUAGUCGCAGAAGAAGCACCGGCUAACUCCGUUGCAGCAGCCGCGGUAAUUC
This 406-nucleotide ribosomal RNA is filed under the name uncultured bacterium. Its description in RNAcentral is "partial 16S ribosomal RNA". It matches the Rfam family "Bacterial small subunit ribosomal RNA", at positions 30 to 526 of the family's 1533-position model. The record is from RNAcentral.